UCUUAGGAUUACUCUCUCUCUCUCUGUGUUUCAUUUUAUACUUGUUCUUAAACAAAAUGAACAAUAUGGAUAAGUCGAGUAUGAAUUAAAUGGUUGUGCCAGCUUGUCAUAGUACUAGAGUGACCAAAUUGUCAUGAUAUCUGAUUACCUGCCGAGAUUGUUAAGUGUUUCACAACACACUUUCUGUGUGCCACAAAAGAUGAGAUGACUAUGGAAAAGAUUGGUACUGUGACAUUCGGGUCCUGGAGAUGGAUAAUUGGAAAAUGAUCCACACAGCUCUUCUUCCGGCAUAUGGAUUUAUAGCAUGGCCACUGGGAUUUAGAGAAAAUGGUGGAGUUCAUAUGGUAAUGAUUAAUAUGGCUGGUGGAGAUUCAGCUAACUUAAAUUUUGUUUUAUGUGAAUCUGAGUUAGGAUACUGGAUGCAAAAUGAGUUCAUGUUUCCAUUACAUCAACGUUCACAGUGAGAGUCUAAUUUUACUGCAUUGAAUUCAGAGUUCUGUUUGGGUAGUAUCUGGCCAGAUUUUGUUGAACAGCUUGGUAACCUCUGUGGUUGAUGUUCUAUAGUUAGUCCAGUGUUGAAUUCAAACUGGCUUUCUAACUUAUAAAUUGAUACUCAUAAUACGAGUCUACUGCGAGUUUAGUAUGUUAUGUGUUUACACUAGGAAUAAGUAAUAACUGAUUAGAGUUUAAGUUCAGGAUUGAUAUUAAUGUUCUUAUCGAUCUGUCUUCUACAUUUUGCAAACCAGAAUAUAUACUACUCUGCAAUGUAUUUGCUUUUGUUUAUUUUGUUCAACUUGUGCACACUAUAUUGAAGUUCAAAAAUUAUUUCUGCUGACCAACACAUUGCUUAUUUCAGCCAGUAAGGCAAUCACCUUGUUAGACUUAAGAAUAUAGACAUCUUUCUAAUUAUAAAUUUAAAACCAGCACGCCUUUUUCCGAAGAAAAUGCCAGUUUCUUGGAGGAAAUAUAUAGCUUUUUCUCUUGAAAAGAGGGAACUUCAGUACAAGGGAGGAACCAAGAAUACAAAGGAGCAAGAGGUGAUGCUUCUUAAACUUCGUUGGGUCAUGCUUAAGAGAUUAACACCAACAGCUUCAGAUAUGUGGCAGUUGAGUUUGGAAAAUCCUUUCCAAGGUCUUCCAGUUGAUAUGCUUCACCAAUAUUACGGCCGACAUUCAGGUUAGAUUUACUGCUGCAAUUCACGGUUCCAAAAUGUUUACUUGGAACAAGUCGGAUAAGAUUAGGCCAAAUCCUUAUGUUUUCAUCUUAAGAUAUUUUCUAAAUUACAUCAUCCCUUAUGACUGAAGAUCUUGUUCCUCAGAGAAGAUGGCACCAAGUUUUUGGCUCUUUCAUUUGUUAAUGUUUUUGUAGUUAUGGGUUAUGGCUAAUGAAGGAAAAUGCUUCAAAGGCAUGUAAGGAUUUACGCUUUCCUUUAGACUUUAUUUGCCCCACAACAAGUGUGCAAAGGGGUUUGAUCAAAUAAUCCUUUAGGAUAGAAUGAAGCCCAGCAAUUAAUCCUACUAUUGUUGAUCGGCGUCUUGCACUUACGAAGAUCAACCCAACACUCGAUCAAAGGUUUUUAAGAGGCUCAAGGUUGUAGGAACUAUAUUUGCAGUUUUAUAGUUUCUAGAUUUUAUCUGUGUAAGAGAGAGGAAGAUUGAUUGAAUGGCUUGAAAGAAAGAA
This is a long non-coding RNA of Rosa rugosa (rugosa rose), 1680 nucleotides long. RefSeq lists it as uncharacterized. The transcript is spliced from 2 exons. NCBI's taxonomy places the organism in Eukaryota, Viridiplantae, Streptophyta, Magnoliopsida, Rosales, Rosaceae. The record is from RefSeq and is a predicted model, not a curated record.